Rattus rattus (black rat) is the source of this 2610-nucleotide RNA transcript. It is a transcript of the gene named centromere protein R-like, with no coding region annotated. The transcript has a single exon. Lineage: Eukaryota; Metazoa; Chordata; Mammalia; Rodentia; Muridae. The record is from RefSeq and is a predicted model, not a curated record.
UCAGUUUCUUUCUUCAGAGACUUGAAGUUCUUGUCAUACAGAUCUUUUAUUUGCUUCAUUAGAGUCACACCAAGAUAUUUAUAUUAUUUGUGAUUGCUGUGAAGAGUUUCUGUAGGGUCCAUUCUUAAAUACCACAAGCCCUCUGUUUGUUCCUGUUAAUAUUGUCACUAUUUUUGAGAUGGGGAAUUUUCAUGUAGAAAUACAAUUUGUGAAUAUUAUUAAACUUGUACAUCUUGGGUUGUUUUGUUUUUAGGGUGAGACUUGCUUUGGUGAUUCUCCUGAGUGCUGAUAGUGUUGGUAUGUGCCACUAUGCCAUCUAGCAGUUUCAUUAAAACCCGGUUGAAAUGUGAACAUUUUUCUCAUUUGGCUAAAAACAAUUUUAUCCAAAAUUUCACUAAGAACUAGGCAAGUUUUUUAUUGUUUGCUUUAGUCUUUCAUUACCUCACUUUAACACCUAAGUUUACCGGGUGAUUAGAAGCAAAGUUGUAUGACAUCCUCUGUUACUCUUCAGUUGGCAUAAGGCAUAGUACCCGGGCCUAGUAAAUCAUUUAAAAUGCAUUGUGUCUUCCGUAUUCCUUGAAGUCCUUAUUACUUCAUAUUUUUUAGACCAAGACCAGUCAGUUGUUUUCUUUAAGGGAUAUAAGAAUUUCAAGAUUAGAUAUGAUCAGUUAGUUACCUUAUAAUCACAAGGUGCACUGUGAAGUAGGUGUUGGUUUUCAUUAAAGAAAUAUCAAAUAGUGAUUUCCUAUAUUUUUGGUAUUUACUUUGGGAGGUAAGUGUAAAUUAACAUUCAGAUCCAUCAUAAAUGUAUUCCCUCUGUGAUUUUUUUCUAAAAAAUAAUGACAAUUCCAAAUUCUAAAAUUUCAUCAUUUUUGAAAAUUAUGUUUUAUCUGAUACUAAAUAAAUAACAGAUUUAAGUCUAUUUCUUCAUUAUUAGCUUACAUCCAAAACACAAUCCUAAAGAUUAUGAAGGAGUAGAACCAUUUCUGCAGGUUGUAAUUACCUAGUCUCUCAGUCACUUGGGAUAAUCUUUAUUAAAUCCACUGAAUACCUUUUGAAAAAAAAUUGUUGUUUUGUUUUGUUUUGAGACAGGGUUUCUCCAUGUAGCCCUGGCUAUCCUGAAACUUACUUUAUAGACCAGGCUGACCUCUAACUCAAAGGUCCACCUGCCUUUGCCUUCUGAGUACUGGCAAGUAUGUUCCACUACCACAUGGCAAAAAAAUAAUUUAAAUCCAUAUUUAAUCUAUAUGUCAUAUAUCCCUUAUUAAGUUGAAGAUGAAGAGUCAAGGAGAAAUGAGGAUGAGAGUGAGAGGGAGUACCAGAUCACUCUUUUGUUGCGAAGAGAGUCAGGCUGUACAUCACACAGUGCACAGGAAAGACAUCACCAGAAGGUUGAUGAAUUAAUUACCUUCUGAGACAGAAGAUAAAUAGGACACAAUGAUGGAGAGUAGCCUCCUAGAAGCUUCUGCUACACAGGCAAUAGUUAUAUAGUGUUGUAAAUACAGAUCACUGUAUCUUAAUGGGAAUACUUGACACUGAACAAUUGGAAUAUCACAGUUAUUGAUCGGGUUGUUUUCCAGAGCCGUUGAGUAUAGUUUUAUCCUGGCUGUACAUUCAAAUAUCCUAAAGCUCAUUUUAGGAAGUGCCUGUGCCAGAUUCCACCCAACACAAACCAGUGAGGUAUCUGAAAGAAGGACGUGAUCACCAAUACUGUAGAAAGCCCCUGAACAAUUUGGAUGUUUAAUAUGAGCUGAAACAUCUAAAGUAGUAAAAACAGAUAUAGAGGUCAAGUUAUUGACCAACCUACCACUUUAGAAGCUUGUACUAUACAGACCAGUGUACUGUAUGCCAGGCACAGUGUGGCUAGGCAUUUCAUGUAUAUAUCAUUUGAUCUUCACAUCUUAAAAACUUUGACUAGCUGCACUUGCUGUUUCUCAGUUGGUUCUAUCCAGCAACAGAGUCCUGGAAAUGCCAUUUAGAGAUUAUCCACCUUAUGUUCUCAAGUUAAAAGAUCACUGAAACUAGAUGAUCAGUUUGAAGACAAUUCAUUUGGUCCUUCAGAAAUCAUGAAGAAGAAAAGUAGUACAGCUUAUUCUCCAACUACUGGAACUUAUCAGUUGAGCCCAUUUUCUUCUCCUACAACCCCCAGAGAACAAGAACACAGAAACAGACCAUCAAAUGGAACAAGAAAACUGAAUAACUUGAGCUCACCUGAAAGACAGGAGUCCACAGUGAAAGGCAGUGAUGGACCAAUGAUGUUGCUAUCUAAAAUUGAGAGAUCAUCAGAGAAAACCAUGGAGAUAAUGAACAAUUUAAGUAGUGUACAGGUGUUGGAGGGCAACAGACAACUUGAAGAUCUCAUUGGUGUUUCCCUAGUACCAUGCUCCUUAAAAAGAGAAGCGAGAAAAACCAAAGAGCUAAUGACAAAAGUAAUAAAAAAAAAAAAAAGCUGUUUAAAAAGAAAAAUUCAAAAAUUCCUCCCAAAAACAACAUCUUGAUAGCUUUGAAUUCCUUAAAGCCAUUUUGAACUGAGUGUUACCUUCAAGUCUAACAACUGUGUCAACCUACCUGGAUAUUAGUCAGCCAUAAGAAUACAAACCAGAUGGAAGU